This 484-nucleotide ribosomal RNA is filed under the name uncultured bacterium. RNAcentral's name for it is "partial 16S ribosomal RNA". It matches the Rfam family "Bacterial small subunit ribosomal RNA", at positions 30 to 507 of the family's 1533-position model. The record is from RNAcentral.
AUUGAACGCUGGCGGCAGGCCUAACACAUGCAAGUCGAGCGGAUGAAGGGAGCUUGCUCCUGGAUUCAGCGGCGGACGGGUGAGUAAUGCCUAGGAAUCUGCCUGGUAGUGGGGGAUAACGUCCGGAAACGGGCGCCAAUACCGCAUACGUCCUGAGGGAGAAAGUGGGGGAUCUUCGGACCUCACGCUAUCAGAUGAGCCUAGGUCGGAUUAGCUAGUUGGUGGGGUAAAGGCCUACCAAGGCGACGAUCCGUAACUGGUCUGAGAGGAUGAUCAGUCACACUGGAACUGAGACACGGUCCAGACUCCUACGGGAGGCAGCAGUGGGGAAUAUUGGACAAAGGGCGAAAGCCUGAUCCAGCCAUGCCGCGUGUGUGAAGAAGGUCUUCGGAUUGUAAAGCACUUUAAGUUGGGAGGAAGGGCAGUAAGUUAAUACCUUGCUGUUUUGACGUUACCAACAGAAUAAGCACCGGCUAACUUCGUG